RNAcentral lists this ribosomal RNA (442 nucleotides) under uncultured bacterium. RNAcentral describes it as "partial 16S ribosomal RNA". It matches the Rfam family "Bacterial small subunit ribosomal RNA", at positions 338 to 795 of the family's 1533-position model. The record is from RNAcentral.
CCUACGGGAGGCAGCAGUGGGGAAUAUUGGGCAAUGGGCGCAAGCCUGACCCAGCAAUGCCGCGUGAAGGAAGAAGGCUUUCGGGUUGUAAACCUCUUUGACUGGGGAAGUGCAGAAGACGGUACCCUGAAAACAAGCCACGGCUAACUACGUGCCAGCAGCCGCGGUAAUACGUAGGUGGCCAGCGUUGUCCGGAUUUACUGGGUGUAAAGGGCGUGUAGCCGGGAAGGCAAGUCAGAUGUGAAAUCUGGAGGCUCAACCUCCAAAUUGCAUUUGAAACUGGUUUUCUUGAGUACUGGAGAGGCAGACGGAAUGCCUGGUGUAGCGGUGAAAUGCGUAGAUAUAAGGAGGAACACCAGUGGCGAAGGCGGUCUGCUGGACAGCAACUGACGGUGAGGCACGAAAGCGUGGGGAGCAAACAGGAUUAGAUACCCGAGUAGUC